RNAcentral lists this ribosomal RNA (449 nucleotides) under uncultured bacterium. Its description in RNAcentral is "partial 16S ribosomal RNA". It matches the Rfam family "Bacterial small subunit ribosomal RNA", at positions 29 to 523 of the family's 1533-position model. The record is from RNAcentral.
AACGAGCGCUGGCGGCAGGCUUAACACAUGCAAGUCGAACGAGAUCUUCGGAUCUAGUGGCAGACGGGUGAGGAACACGUGGGAACAUCCCUUUCAGUUCGGAAUAACGCUGGGAAACUAACGCUAAUACCGGAUACGUCCUUCGGGAGAAAGAUUUAUCGCUGAAAGAUUGGCCAGCGUCUGAUUAGCUAGUUGGUGAGGUAAUGGCUCACCAAGGCUACGAUCAGUAGCCGAUCUGAGAGGAUGAUCAGCCACAUUGGGACUGAGACACGGCCCAAACUCCUACGGGGGGCAGCGGUGGGGAAUAUUGCACAAUGGGCGAAAGCCUGAUGCAGCAACGCCGCGUGAGCGAUGAAGGCCUUCGGGUCGUAAAGCUCUGUCCUCAAGGAAGAUAAUGACGGUACUUGAGGAGGAAGCCCCGGCUAACUACGUGCCAGCCGCCGCGGUAA